Molecule: non-coding RNA, 29 nt
Filed under: Rattus norvegicus (Norway rat)
Lineage: Eukaryota; Metazoa; Chordata; Mammalia; Rodentia; Muridae
Source: RNAcentral
UGGGCUCUAGUAAUCAGAUGCUUAGAACA